UAUCCCCCCCCUGUGUGCCCCUUGCCCUCCCCCACGACCUGCACAACGCGAAGAACCUUACCAAGGCUUGACAUGCAUCUCUAAGCGCGUGAAAGCGCGUGACCCUUCGGGGGAAUUUGCACAGGUGCUGCAUGGCCGUCGUCAGCUCGUGUCGUGAGAUGUUGGGUUAAGUCCCGCAACGAGCGCAACCCCUGUGAUCAGUUGCCAGCGCGUGAAGGCGGGGACUCUGGUCAGACUGCCCAGAUCAACUGGGAGGAAGGUGGGGACGACGUCAGGUCAGUAUGGCCCUUACGCCUUGGGCUGCACACGUACUACAAUGCCCAGCACAAUGAGAACCGAGACCGCGAGGUGGAGGAAAUCUAAGAAAACUCGGGCCCAGUUCGGAUUGGAGGCUGCAACUCGCCUCCAUGAAGCCGGAAUCGCUAGUAAUGGCGCAUCAGCUACGGCGCCGUGAAUACGUUCCCGGGUCUUGUACACACCG
This 481-nucleotide ribosomal RNA is filed under the name uncultured bacterium. RNAcentral's name for it is "bacterial SSU rRNA". It matches the Rfam family "Bacterial small subunit ribosomal RNA", at positions 958 to 1392 of the family's 1533-position model. The record is from RNAcentral.